RNAcentral lists this ribosomal RNA (468 nucleotides) under uncultured bacterium. RNAcentral describes it as "partial 16S ribosomal RNA". It matches the Rfam family "Bacterial small subunit ribosomal RNA", at positions 28 to 507 of the family's 1533-position model. The record is from RNAcentral.
GACGAACGCUGGCGGCGUGCUUAACACAUGCAAGUCGAACGGAAAGGCCCUGCUUUUGUGGGGUGCUCGAGUGGCGAACGGGUGAGUAACACGUGAGUAACCUGCCCUUGACUUUGUGAUAACUUCAGGAAACUGGGGCUAAUACCGGAUAGGAGCUCCUGCUGCAUGGUGGGGGUCGGAAAGUUUCGGCGGUUGGGGAUGGACUCGCGGCUUAUUAGCUUGUUGGUGGGGUAGUGGCUUACCCAGGCAUUGGCGGGUAGCCGGCCUGAGAGGGUGACCGGCCACAUUGGGACUGAGAUACGGCCCAGACUCCUACGGGAGGCAGCAGUGGAGAAUAUUGCACAAUGGGCGGAAGCCUGAUGCAGCAACGCCGCGUGCGGGAUGACGGCCUUCGGGUUGUAAACCGCUUUCGCCUGUGACGAAGCGUGAGUGACGGUAAUGGGUAAAGAAGCACCGGCUAACUACGUG